This 70-nucleotide transfer RNA is filed under the name Hylodes meridionalis (Rio Grande tree toad). Its description in RNAcentral is "tRNA-Tyr". It matches the Rfam family "tRNA". From Rfam's summary of the family: Transfer RNA (tRNA) molecules are approximately 80 nucleotides in length. The record is from RNAcentral. Lineage: Eukaryota; Metazoa; Chordata; Amphibia; Anura; Hylodidae.
GGUAAGGUGACCGAGAGUCAGGUGGUGGGUUGUAGCCCCAAAUACAGAGGUUAAAGUCCUCUCCUUAUCA